GACGAACGCUGGCGGCGUGCUUAACACAUGCAAGUCGAACGGAAAGGCCCUGCUUGCAGGGUACUCGAGUGGCGAACGGGUGAGUAACACGUGGGUGAUCUGCCCUGCACUUCGGGAUAAGCCUGGGAAACUGGGUCUAAUACCGGAUAGGAGCCAUUUUUAGUGUGAUGGUUGGAAAGUUUUUUCGGUGUAGGAUGAGCUCGCGGCCUAUCAGCUUGUUGGUGGGGUAAUGGCCUACCAAGGCGGCGACGGGUAGCCGGCCUGCGAGGGUGGACGGCCACAUUGGGACUGAGAGACGGCCCAGACUCCUACGGGAGGCAGCAGGGGGGAAGAUUGCACAAUGGGCGCAAGCCUGAUGCAGCGACGCCGCGUGGGGGAUGACGGCCUUCGGGUUGUAAACUCCUUUCGCUAGGGACGAAGCUUUUUGUGACGGUACCUAGAUAAGAAGCACCGGCUAACUACGUG
RNAcentral lists this ribosomal RNA (465 nucleotides) under uncultured bacterium. RNAcentral describes it as "partial 16S ribosomal RNA". It matches the Rfam family "Bacterial small subunit ribosomal RNA", at positions 28 to 507 of the family's 1533-position model. The record is from RNAcentral.